GACGAACGCUGGCGGCGUGCUUAACACAUGCAAGUCGAACGCUGAAGCCUAGCUUUUGUUGGGUGGAUGAGUGGCGAACGGGUGAGUAACACGUGAGUAACCUGCCCCCUUCUUUGGGAUAACGCCCGGAAACGGGUGCUAAUACUGGAUAUUCACUGAUCUUCGCAUGGGGGUUGGUGGAAAGGUUUUUUCUGGUGGGGGAUGGGCUCGCGGCCUAUCAGCUUGUUGGUGGGGUGAUGGCCUACCAAGGCUUUGACGGGUAGCCGGCCUGAGAGGGUGACCGGUCACAUUGGGACUGAGAUACGGCCCAGACUCCUACGGGAGGCAGCAGUGGGGAAUAUUGCACAAUGGGCGAAAGCCUGAUGCAGCGACGCCGCGUGAGGGAUGGAGGCCUUCGGGUUGUAAACCUCUUUCGCUCAUGGUCAAGCCGCAACAUUGGUUGUGGUGAGGGUAGUGGGUAAAGAAGCGCCUG
Molecule: ribosomal RNA, 472 nt
Filed under: uncultured Actinomyces sp.
Lineage: Bacteria; Bacillati; Actinomycetota; Actinomycetes; Actinomycetales; Actinomycetaceae
Description: bacterial SSU rRNA
Rfam family: Bacterial small subunit ribosomal RNA
Source: RNAcentral